RNAcentral lists this ribosomal RNA (561 nucleotides) under Staphylococcus sp. HB2. RNAcentral describes it as "bacterial SSU rRNA". It matches the Rfam family "Bacterial small subunit ribosomal RNA", at positions 366 to 919 of the family's 1533-position model. Lineage: Bacteria; Bacillati; Bacillota; Bacilli; Caryophanales; Staphylococcaceae. The record is from RNAcentral.
CAUCCAUGCGGCGAGCCUGACGGAGCACGCCGCGUGAGUGAUGAAGGUCUUCGGAUCGUAAAACUCUGUUAUCAGGGAAGAACAAAUGUGUAAGUAACUGUGCACAUCUUGACGGUACCUGAUCAGAAAGCCACGGCUAACUACGUGCCAGCAGCCGCGGUAAUACGUAGGUGGCAAGCGUUAUCCGGAAUUAUUGGGCGUAAAGCGCGCGUAGGCGGUUUUUUAAGUCUGAUGUGAAAGCCCACGGCUCAACCGUGGAGGGUCAUUGGAAACUGGAAAACUUGAGUGCAGAAGAGGAAAGUGGAAUUCCAUGUGUAGCGGUGAAAUGCGCAGAGAUAUGGAGGAACACCAGUGGCGAAGGCGACUUUCUGGUCUGUAACUGACGCUGAUGUGCGAAAGCGUGGGGAUCAAACAGGAUUAGAUACCCUGGUAGUCCACGCCGUAAACGAUGAGUGCUAAGUGUUAGGGGGUUUCCGCCCCUUAGUGCUGCAGCUAACGCAUUAAGCACUCCGCCUGGGGAGUACGACCGCAAGGUUGAAACUCAAAGGAUUUGGACGGGGG